GUUUUGUGGUUGUAGUCAGUUGCAGUGUCCUAGACUGCAGUCAGUUCAAUUAAAUUUGCUUCACCAACCUUUUUCCUUACUAAGUUACUAUUCAUAUAUUCUCUCAUACAUUGUCCCCAAUUUUUGUUGUACUCUCCAGAAAUUCAAGGGCACAAUUUCUAUUGUGUAUGGAGCCAGAGGAAGAAAGGCCAUCAUUUUUCAAGGUCCUUAUUGGCGACUUCUCCCAGCAACUGAACUUUAAUAGUUGUGUACCGUCCAUCAGUGGCCUUAGAGGCCCUUGUGGAACAUGCUGGACUGUAAAUCUGAAAGAGAUCGAGAAAUCUAUUAUGAAAAAUGCAAUGAAGCUUGAGAUGUUGGUGAUCAAUCAGUUUGGAAAAACUUAUAUGGAUGGAGUGUUUAGGGAUGUUACCAAUCAGCAUAUAUACUCCAAACUCUAUGCCUGAACAUCCAUCUUGGAAGAAGAACGCGAAAGAUUAUGGGAAGAAGAACGCAGGGGAGUGGUCCAAGAAAAAUUAAGGAAAAUAAAGACUGAUGUACAAAUUAUAAUUCUGUAACAGUUGUCCGUUAAAAAAAUAAAGGCUUCUUGUUCUGUUGUUUAUCCAUGGUUGUAACCUUAUAUUUGUUGAUGUAUUCAAUGUAAUAUUAGUGUACAUGGAUUGUUUGACUUGUAGCUGAUGUCUAAAUUGAGCAUUUA
Rosa chinensis is the source of this 694-nucleotide long non-coding RNA. RefSeq lists it as uncharacterized. Lineage: Eukaryota; Viridiplantae; Streptophyta; Magnoliopsida; Rosales; Rosaceae. The transcript is spliced from 3 exons. The record is from RefSeq and is a predicted model, not a curated record.